This is a non-coding RNA of Poecilia reticulata (guppy), 1223 nucleotides long. The record is from RefSeq and is a predicted model, not a curated record. Lineage: Eukaryota; Metazoa; Chordata; Actinopteri; Cyprinodontiformes; Poeciliidae.
UGAACAGCAUCUUAAAUCCAGCGAUGAGUUCAGCCUGUAAGAGAGAGAGAGACGACUCAUGUCGCAUAUUCACUUUCGAAGGAUUUUGGGCUGCCCGAGCGCCGUGCGGUGAUGUAACCGAAGCAGGAAGGUCACAGCGGUGGAUUCGUCGAUGUUAACUUUUACAGUUUCUCACCCAGACAAGCUUGCUGACUCUGCGCCGUGAGCGACUGAAGCAACGUAAGAUGAGAUCCACAUUGCCCCCAGACUACAAGGACGUUCUCGGGAUGAGAACUUUGAUAAAAACGACAGGAUGGACAGAGAGACGAUGUUGAACGUUUUAGGUGUGGAUUGAUUUUAAUUACAGUAUUUUCCAAAACGGAUUCACACCUCCUGAGCUUCGUCUUUAUUACGCUACGACCUUAAAGUUCAGUGUAUUUAAUUGGAGCUAAAGUAGGGAGCAGAAAGUAGGGCGUCAUGGGGAGAUAAAUGGAAAAUAAUACAAAAUCUAACAAGUGGGAUGUGCAUUUUCCUGCAAUUAGAGGUCUUUUGAGGCAUAUAUAGGUCUUUUCUAGGCAUUACAACGUCCCUCAUUAUUCUUUUCAAAAUCAAACUCAAUCAGUUUAGCAUCAGCUCCUCUGUCAUUGUCACGGGGUUCAGGGUGAUGGCAUGUUUUGGUAUAGGGUUGGAGUUGUGCCAUAGAUAGUUGGACCAAUGAUGUGGCUCAUUGAUCCAGUAAAAUUCUGAUUGCAACAGAAUCCUAUUGUGUGUGAUUGUGUGUUCAUAUGACACACUAAAAACCACAAAUAUGAUUUACCCUGGGUUGGACUAUCUCUGAAUCCCACUAAAACACACUUAGGUUUCUUGUCGCGAUGUAAUAAAAAUAUAACAGAGUUCAAGAUAUUUAAAUACUUUUUUGCAAGGCCAUGCAUAUUUUGUCUAUGUUGGCGGUUUAAGGUGCAAAUAUUUCGAUUGUUUUAAAGUCUUUUUUUUUUUUUCUGAAGAUGUCCAUCCAGACGUUCAUUGUUCCCAGAGUCUCAUCAGCUUUGGUGAUACGAUGAAGACUUUCUGCCAACCAGGUAAUGCUUCACUUGGUUUCACAUUCAUCUGGUGAUUUUACUACAGAGACGGAGGGCUGUCAGUAGUCUGAAGAGGUCCAGCGAUUCACAGAGACCAUUUGUGGACUUCCACAAGGACGAGAAAAUUAUGAACCUGCCCUUAAUUAUUAAACAAGUGUGUCAGCA